ACCACAUUCUAGAACACUCUGUGUUACGGACAUCGAAACUGAAUAUUUAUGUAUCGUUACUUUCGUUCUUGUUUUAAGAAAAGUGUGCACAUAGAUACAAAAGUUAUCUUAUUUCUAUUGCACUACAUUUAACGUAACUACUGCAAUAUAACAAGCCGUAUAGAUGUACGUGUUAGGCAGCGCAGCGUCCUUGCAAGUAGAUAAGGGGGCCCCGCGCAGUUAAACACAGAAUGGCCGCCAUUUGUGCAGUACGAGCAUUUGAAUGUGUUUCUCCCAAGUGCCUGGAGAGCUUGGAGCGCUAGAGUGUUCCUAGGUGCGUGACUUUGGAAGUGUGCGUUCGUAAUUUUUCAGCAAAAGAAGACAUCCGGAGACGAUUCAAGUGAUUCGGCUCGGCGAGCAAGUCGUAAGCAUCGGUGGUGUAGCUGAGUGGGCGCUCGCUAAUCAAAAGAACAGCCGAUUGCGUCUGAGGGAGCGAUAUUUACUCACAACUUCGUGCACAAGGCAUGCAUGCUCGACCGUAGGCUGCGGCUCUUCAGAGCUCAGACCACCAUGGUGGCGCGGCCACCCUUGAGGCCUGGGCAAGCCCGCUGGAGCGUGGCGGCAGCAGCAGCGGGCUGCUGGCUGCGGUGGCGGCGGCCGAGGAGCUGGGCAGCAUGAGCCUGGCCCUGACGCAGCAGCCCCGGUGCCUGGGGGGGCCCGACUUCCUGCUCGACACGGUGGCGAGCGUGGUGGACGGUGUUCCAGCGGCCAUGGGUGCGGAGGAGGAGGCCUCGUCAGUGGAGCCAGUGGCCUCGCCCCCUCCACCUGCUGCCAAAAGCCGCACUUCACACCACAACUGCUUUGGCCUGCCCUACCAGGAUCACAACUAUGGUGCUCCACCGCCUGUGACGCCCCCCCAGAGCCCACCACCAUCACCACUGUCGCCACCCAGCGAAGGACAGCCAGCCCUCAAUGGCACGCCUCCCCUGGGACUUCUGCUUGAGGUGGGCAGUCCUCCCCCGCUGACCAAUGGCGGCUCGCCUGCUGACAGGAAAGAGGAGUGCGCCCCCAAUGAGGAAAGUGUGACGCGCUGCAUCUGUGGCUUCAACCAGGACGACGAGUACAUGAUCUGCUGCGACCAGUGCCUGGUUUGGCAGCAUGUGGACUGCAUGGGCCUGGACCGCAGCUGCAUACCUGAGACAUACCUGUGUGAGCGCUGCUGCCCAAGACGUGUGGAUCGGCAGCGGGCGCGCUCUCUCCAGACACGCAAGAAGCACCAGAUGGCCCGGCUGCUGAGCCGACUUGAGUCAGCUCCCGAAGAGGACCCCAAGGGGGCCGAGCCUGCCACCAAAUCGCGAGUGGUGCGACGCAAGCGGCAGCGCUCAGAGUCAUCGCCUGACCCUCCAGUGGUGCACAAGAAGGCCAUGAAAGAGAAGAUUGAACGCAAAAGGGUCAAGUUAAAAGGCAUGGUGAAGCGAGCUGCCAGCCGGCGUUUGGCACCCUCAGCCGAGGAGGAGGAGGCAGCAGUGGGAGACCCAUGGCGGGGGGGAAGUGGAGGUACCGAGGGACCCCCCAGCUACGAGCAGGCUCCCGCCAACCAGUACAGUCCCGAGGUGCAGCUGCUUGCAUCCAGCCUGUUCCAGGCCAAAGGUAGGCAGGAGCAGCAGCUGGCCGAAGAGGAGCUGUUGCGGGGUGGCUGGGAGGGUGCCUGGCAACUGGACGAGUGUGCCCCCCCUCGGGGCCGCCAGGAGGGCCGCCACCGCCUGGUGACUACCCGUACAGUACCUGCCCAGCAGCCACUGCUUGAGGUGCGCGGGAAGUUUUUGUCGGCCAGCCAGUUCCGCCUGCAGAACCCUGUGUUCCAGAAGAGGCUGUACCCAUGUGUGCUCUUCUACAAGGGCUGGGCGGAUAACGAAGAUGGGGUUUGUGUGGACGCCCGAGUGUAUGGGAACGAGGCACGGUUUGUUCGCCGCUCGUGCCGUCCCAGCGCGCGGGUGCGGCACACCUUCCAAGAGGGCCUGCUGCGGCUCUACCUGGUGGCUGACCGAGACCUGGCACCUGCCGAGGAAAUCACCAUCCCCUUCGACUUUGACUACCGACACUGCAUCCACCGUGUGACCUGUGCCUGUGGUCAGGAUGACUGCCUACUCCACCGGAGAAAGACCAGCACAGCUGCAUCACCUAUGGAGCGCAAGCAACGUGGCCGUCGCCGCAGCAGCAGCAGCCAGGUGGAGGCGGAAGUGAAAGAGGAGGGCGAUGCCCCCCAGGAAGAGGACGGGACCAGCAGCGGGCCCUCUCUGGAUUACAGGCCACCACCUGUCACAGAUGCCUCAUCCAACGAGCACCAGGAAGGAAGCCCACCGCUGGCGUCUCCCGACUCCGGUGGUCAAGAACCUGGGACAGGAGACGAUGGGGACCUGCCCGACUCUGGUCACAGCAGCCGCAGGCGAAAGAUGACCCGGGAGGAGCGCAAGAUCGAUGCCAUCAUGCGUGCCUUUGAAAAAAUGGAGCGCACCGAGAAGCGGCGCCAACAGGCCCUGGAGCGGCUGCAGCAUCGAGGAGGGAGGGCUUCGAUGGAUGAGGGCAGGGGGGACGAGCGCUCCAACGAGGACCACCCAGCGGCCGGCGACGCCGCCCUGCCCCCCGAGGAAGCGGAACGCUUGCGCUCACUUCGAGGGCCCACUCGCAAGGGCAAGCGACGAAGGAGCACGCUGUCUCGGCGCCGCACACGCAGCAACAGUGGUGGGCCCGAGCUGCUGCUGGCGGCUGCGGCCACGGUCAGUGCCCUGGAGUGCCCCGAGGGGGUGUCCUUCCCGCCCCCGGCCUCCUCCUCGCCCGAGGAGGAGGAGGAGGAGGAGCCACCGCCGCCACCACCACCAGAGCUGUCGCCCCCGCCGGGAUCUCCUCCUCCGUGCCAGCCACCCCUGCCCAAGUCCAAGAGGUUCCUGAUGCAGGGCUGGCUGCACGAGAAGCAGCAUGAGGGAGCCGGCCCCUCGUCUGGCGAGGGCCCCCCUGUGUACGUGCGCUGCACCCGAGACACGGCCAGUGGUGGCAUUUCGGCUGCCCACCUUCGCCGGCACAGUGGCUCGGCUGGCACUAACUGCAAUGCUGCCGGCUCGGCAAAGAAGCGCUGGUUGCGGCAGGCCAUGUUUGAGUCGAGCGAAGACGUCCCAGACGAGGGGCUCCUCUUGGAAGGGGCCGAGCUGCCAGUGAGCCCACUGCUCGAGGACAGCAUCUCACCGCCACCCGCCGACCUGGUGACACCCCUGAAGAAGCGGCGGCUGAUGCGUGGCUCCCUGGAUUCGGUGGGCGGGCUGUCUCCAGCCACGGGGGAGGCGGCUGCCACCCUGCUUUCUUUUCAGACGCCGCUGCUGCUGCACCGCUAUCCAGACGAGGAGCACCAGCCGCAGUCGCAGCAUGGUCAGGGGGAGCCCAGCAGUGCAGGCAGCCCCCCACUGGACGACCCCCCAACCCCCUUGGACGACGAAGGGUCGGUGGACUGGGAGGAAGGGCCGUCCCCUCCAGCAGCUCUGGGACCGCGGCUGCUGCCCCCCUUGACCAGCGGCCAGCCGUCACCCCUGGAGCUGGCAGGCCGCACCCUGGAGGGCGGUCGACGACCCACGUCCGCACCUCGCCUGCCUGAGCCUCUGCCAGGUCCACACGAUGAGGAUGAGGGUACACCAAAACCGGCAGAGACCGAGGUGAGACCACCGCCAUCAUGCUGGGGACCCGAGGCCUCGGACUCCUCGUCCUCUUCCCCAAGGGGAGGCAAGCGCAAGGUGAGCCUGUCCGAGUACCGGCAGCGGAUGCGAGACACUGCCCGGGCCCCCGCUGCCGUAGUAGCAGUGCCCCCUGCCCGAAUGGUGGCCAACGAGAGCCCGGACAACAAGCAGCACGGUUCGCUCGGCCGGCCACAAGACGUCCCCUGCGGUGCGUCCGAUGCCAGAGCCCUGGACGACGACGAGGCCUGGCCCCAGCGGGAGCGGCUGAGCCAGCGGCUGCGCCGGGAGUUUGGGCUGCUCGACGACGAUUCCGACACGGAGAGGGGCACCACCCCGUCAGGUCCCGAAGAUGCCCUGCUGCCCCUUGGCCCUCCCCACAUGUAUGGAGGAUACCUGCCACCACCCUUGCAGGAUCUCCGUACACAUGGCACCUGGCUCAAGCGCAGGUAGCAUGCGAGAAUCAGAGGCACAACGACCAUCACGGCAUUACGAACGGAACGAUAUGCCCAUUGGCCCAAGUUAAUAGAAAAUUUGGGCCAUUGGAUCAGCAUAAGUUCUUUUCAUGGUUCCCUUUGGCGCAACCCCUCACUCUGCAGCAACAAGCCUGCCAUCAUCGCACCGGCCAGGUUACUUCCACCACAGCUAGACCACGGUCUGCAGAAGACUUGUACAUAUAAGAAGGCCCGGGACCGCUCUCAUUGUUUUUGCGCCUCUGAGUGGGAUGGCCCUCGAGUGCCAGUUGAUGACAGCAGGACUGGGCACGGCAUCAAGGUGGUGCUGUCAGACAUGCCAGACCAUUCCAAGGCACCCUUGUUGACACAUCCUCCCGUGUUUUCCACAGUGCUCUCAUGUGAGGUGCAGUCGCAUCCAUUGUGUACAUAGCUAUACAUAGCCUCCCAACGUGUCUCUUGUCAUGUCACAAUUUUCAGUGGGUUGACCAGUGAACGUUUUAUCUGGUUCCCUUGCCGGCCAUUUUUUGAGGCUUGCGUUGCUGCAGUGUGGCUGCAGCAUGCCUGUGUGUUGAGCAGGCUGCGUUUGUACAUAGUGUACAUAAGAAGGCCUAUUUAUCACCACUGAUUCCGACAUGUACAGGUGUUUUUAGUUACACUGAACGAGACCAGAGCAGGUGUAGAAAUUUGGAAUUCUGUGUUGUACAGUUUAUCUGACUGCUGCUGCAUGUGCCUGCCCAAGGUGACUUGUUGUGUGAGCUUUAUUAAAGUGCUGUUUUGAUGUGUUACUUGGUGGUGCAGAACACUGGUGGCUUGGCUCACAUGUGGGUUGCCCUUAGGACAAUGUGUGCAACCUCUACUCUUAAUAAUGUUGCCAUUUAUCAAACUGUGCUGCUCUGGUUUUGUCUACGGGCAGUGGUGUUGGCGAUGCCAGCUUUUAUCCUCUUUUUGAUGUUGCCAUGUGCUUUGUAAUCCUGUUGCGCUCAGGAUUUGAUUGAUGUGGUAGAGCCUGCCUCUCACCUCUUUUAAUUUUCCUGUGUGUCUGGCAAAAACAAAAUUGACAACAGCCUGCGUGAUAACUUAUUUUAUAUACCCUGGGCUCAACAUGUGUGUCCUUAUGCGAGCAGUGCGGGGAGCCACAUGCCGGCUGCGAAGCACCUGCCAACGCUGUAAAUAAUAAACAAGGCUGCCUUCUUGA
This is an RNA transcript of Dermacentor albipictus, 5348 nucleotides long. It is a transcript of the gene named inactive histone-lysine N-methyltransferase 2E-like, with no coding region annotated. The record is from RefSeq and is a predicted model, not a curated record. Lineage: Eukaryota; Metazoa; Arthropoda; Arachnida; Ixodida; Ixodidae.